Molecule: long non-coding RNA, 6290 nt
Organism: Chlorocebus sabaeus (green monkey)
Lineage: Eukaryota; Metazoa; Chordata; Mammalia; Primates; Cercopithecidae
Source: RefSeq, a predicted model, not a curated record
UCCACCUGCCUUGGCCUCCCAAAGUGCUGGGAUUACAGGUGUGAGCCACUGCACCUGGCCAAUAAGCUUUGCUAAUUGCUCAAAUUGAGGCAACUGGGUCUCAGGGAGGGCAUGAGUGUUUUCACUUACCCAAGACAAUCUGAGACCCUAGAACCAGAACGAAGAGGCGUGGUUGGGCAGGAAAAGGACCUAUGACCUUCAGGGAGUGGAUUGGAGAGCCCAGGAAGGGAGGAGUUCCUGUUUUAGGUUUUCAGGCACAAUGACUCCCAUCUACUUGUGUGCUAAUGUCACCAAUAGGUCAUUCUCUCUAAAUUGGAGGGUCUGCUCCCCGGUGGGCACUUCCUCCUUAGUACUUGAGAAAGCCAAAGAGUUGGAGGAAGCUCCUGUUUUGUGAGUUGAGGCAGGAAUGUGGGAAGCAAAGGACUCCCCUCGCAGAGUUCUUUUCUGUGACUGUCUAAACAUGUAUAGGCAUUUGAAACAAAAACAGCAUCGUACUAUACACAGUGUUUUGCAGUCAUUUCAGGAUCGUGCUAUGCAUACUGUUUCAUAACGCCUUUUCAGUUACCAUAUCAACACUUUUCAUAUUGAAUUAUUUAGGACACAAUUUUAAAUGACUACAUAUUGCUUUUCGGUACAUAAUGUAUUUAGCCAAUUCAUGUUUCACUCUUAAGAACGCACUCGAACUUCUAAGUGGUUAAGAUUGCACAGGCAGCCCUCAUUAUUGCCUAAAGGCAAAUUAUUAAAAGUGGAAUCAUUGGUUCAAAUGGUGUGUAUUGAAAUGCCCUCCUGGAAAGGGGCCCCAAAUUAUAUGUAUCUUGAGGAACUAAGAUAACUGUGGCAUAAACCACAAAACAACGACUUAACAGAUGCACCAUAUAUUUUUCUGGCUUCUCUGAAGCCCUGAUGACUGCUGCGGUCUGGGGCCCCCAGUUUCAAAGGCUCCAGCACUAAUGUUGAGUUGUGCUGUCCCCAGCAGCUGACAACCUUGAGGCUGUCAGGAGGACUCUCCCCUGCCAUCGCUGGAUGCACUGAACUCCUGGCCCACCCUGUGGGCACUGCUGCCAGUGUAGUGCGGAAUCUCUGCCGUCUUCCGGAGUUGGCUUCGCUAAUAAGCCUCAGGACCCCAGGAGGAGGAGCUACUCGGAUUUAUCCACACAAUCGCUUCUGCCCAAGAAAAGCAGAAAAAUAGUGGCCUUUAACCAGGGUGGAUUUUGAACACUGGUACCAGUUAAAUACUCUCUAGAAAUCAAAAGCUCAGUUGUUCCAGGAGACUUUGUAUCUUUUUUCCUUCACCUCUCUCUUUCUCAACUUAAACAUGACCCCAAAAAGCACUGUGUAAGUCAUGAAGCAGAAGACAGUCAGAUUGCCAAGGUUAAUAUUUGUGUUUGGAAGCAUGGCCCCUGUCAAAUGGGCAGUAGCCCUCCAGCUGCCUCCAAGGUUUCUCUUAGCUAGUAUGUCGGCCAAAUAGUCCUGUUCUUCAUUCUUUUUUUUUUUUUUUUUUUUAACCUACUGAGAGGAGGCGAAGUGUCAUCACCAAAGAGACCAACUGUGCCUGAGGAGGCUGGGACAGCAGUGGGGUCAGUCCACUGGGUCCUGCUCACCAUCCCCAGCUGCCCCCCUCCAACCUCAAGCUGAGUUAGGAAAACCCAGCAGGUUUGGGGAAUCAGUGGAACUGAUGGGGCUGGCUCAGCAAACAAGCAUCCAGUGUUCCACUCACUCUGAUUCCAGUGCCAGCGGCCAUUCUCCAGAGACACUGACGGCUCUGUUCUAUAGGGUACCAGCCUUGCAUCACUCAGCUGGGAAAAGGUGUGUGCUAGACCUCCCUCCCUCCCCCAGUGUAGACAUGCCAGGGAGCAGGGCUGGAGCCUUGGUAUUGGAUACACCCAAAGGUGUUCAACUCAAGGAUACAACUCGAUUUUCCCCUAGUCACCCAUGGAGGUCAAGGAUGCUUAGAUUGGCUCCAGGAGGGAUGGAGGCACUACAGUAUUUGCCCUUCUCCAUUGCCUUGUGAGCUGGUUCCAGGGGCCUGGUGCUUGGAUGGGAUGUGGUCCUGCCAGCUAUUUGUGAACUCCAGCACCCAAAGGCCUUACAGGUCAGAAAAUGCAACUGACUUGGAGAAAAAAGUCAGCCAACAAAAUUCCCCACCUUCUGAUGACUGCUACUUAAAAAAAUCAAUAUGCAUACAAAUCAGGACUAAACAGAAGUAAAAAUAAUUGGGUCAGGGUAGAUGGACUGAGAAUGAUGAUUUUUAACUCUGUUUUCUUCAUUACCUACAAUGUGGUUACAUUGUCCUUCCAAUUUUUUUUUAAGGAACAUAAACACCAGUUUUAAGAGGUAGAAUCAGGCGGGUUGAUGUUUCUAGGCAUCCAGCCUAGUGAAUGUGUGUAAAUGUGCAUUAGCCUGGGGAGGUGGGGGAGGGAGCAGUUUCACUGGACACGCCCGCCUGUAUGAGGCUGGAUUUCCUUACAGGGAUCUGAGCUCAGCAGAGUCCGGGGAGACUGAGGGCCUUCGAUGUGCUUCAAGCCAGAGAAACCUUGGAGACUGGGGCCAAUUUCUGGGCCUGCCGUGGUCAUGAAUCAUGUCAGCUGCUGAGUGUGCUCAGUGGAGAGUGAACACACGGCCCACACAGAUGGAGAGGCGCUAGCACUGUGGGCAAGGGGAAAGGCAAGUUGGAAAUACAAGGCUCUUGGAGGACACGAGGAAGGCAAAGGAUGCUGGAGAACUUGGCCUCAGGGAACUUCCACCUCACCUUCAUAUUGACCCCAUGGGCUAAUCUCACAUUUUCUUUCCAGGAGACUCAAGUGAGGCUAGGAGAUCUUUGAGAGAAUAAAGAGAGCAUUCCAGAAAACCUCUCCUGGCUACGGAUAUCUUUACAGGCAGAUCUCUCUGUUAAAUCUUGAGAAUCUCUGGUUUUAGCUCUCUCUUUCCCAUGACGAUGAAGAUUCUCUCUCCCACCUCUUCCCUACCAACUUUCCAUCCCAUUAUGUAGACACCCUGCCUCCCCUUUGCCUCCAUUUACUUAAAUUAAUUGCAUGCUUUUACCAGGAUCUGAAAAGUCUAAUUCUAAGUGUUGUGUUGAAGGAAAACUUGCUUGACAAAUGGGAACUGCAGGUGAAAGAAAGGGGUUGAUGCUGUAAGGAGGUGGAUGCGCAAUUCCCUGAGUCCCGAGGGGGAGCUCCACAUCACAGGACAUGAGUGGGCCAUCUUUAAAUCUGAAGCACGUUCCUACUGAGGAAAGCAGGAACCACAGUGUGGGGCCCCAUCCAGCCGCCUCCAAGCGGUGGAACUGCAGCUCGCAGGGAGAAACGCAUAGAAAGGAAGUGGGUGGGUUUUAUUCCUUGUGCCUCUGUCUGGAUAUGGUGUGGGGAGUCUCCCUGGCUUUUGGAUUUGAAAACUUUCACAUGGGUGAGAACUGAACUCAGUAUUGUCUCCAGAGCCAAAAACCAAGUACCUGGAGAAUGAGGCCCAGUAGGGCCAUUUUCCAAGAGCCAAGCUGUGCCUCCCUCAGGGGCUGCUGAACGUCUGUUCUUCCUGAGUACUGGGUGAACCUGGCUGAGGUUUCUGGCCUCCAGACUUAUCUGGCCUCCUGCUGGACCUUAUUUAACACCUUCUGUGGGCGGAGAGAAUUGUAGGAGGAAUUUCUCAUUUUUCCCACUCACCCAGGAAUGCCACCGAGCGGGGCUCUGCCUGAGGUCAGACAGGCCGCAGAAGGGACAUUUUCUCCCACUCGCCAGGACGCAUCUCGGAGCCUUCUGCAUCGGAAUCAUGUUGUGGUAUUUCCUCAGGAGAAGGCUCCGUUCCCAGAGGCUCAGUCAGCAAAGUACAUGAGAGCAAGUGUUUUUGCUCUUUUUGGGACAUGUCUUCCUGUAUCUCUGCCAGUCACGAUCUCUUGUUUCUCCUUGUCCUGGCCCACAGUGGGUUUUUGGAAGCGGUGAGGAGUGACCGGAGCAGGAUAAGGACCCAUCCUCUACACACCCCCAUCUGGAGGCACCCUGUUGGGCCUGUGUGACCCCUCCUUGACCCAGUCCAGAAGGGAGGGUGUGAUUUCAUUGAAUGAGGCAUCCCAAGGCCCUUUGCAACCUUUUGUGUCUCUUAUAAAAUAAAUCUCCAAAUGUGCUAGCAGAGAAAACUUGAGCCCGACGUCAUCUGAGGGCUGGGAGUUCCGCUCAUUCGUCAGGCUGGGAUUGUCUCUGAUUAGCUGGUGAGGUGAACGUGCCCUGUCAUCCCUGGCCCGGCUGGGCAACCUGGCAGGUCAUGCCUGUGCGUCGUGCAAUUUUGGCUGUCAAGUAGCUCCAGGCACCUAAGACUGAAGACCAGGGUGGCCUCCUGUGCCCUGAGGCUGUCACCACCAGAUUUCAGAGCCUCUGACUACAAAGCAAUGCUCUCUUGUAGCUCAUCUUAAAACACAUGGCAGACAGAACUGAUUCGUUCUCCUCCAUGAAAGUAACAUCCUGGAAAUAGCUAAAAGUCAAAACAAACACAAAAACAAACAACCCACCCAGGCCUGCAAUAUGUGCCCCGCUGGAAAAACAAACUCUGUCUGGCUUUUUGGGCGGAGAAGCCUUGGGAAGGCCAGCCCACAUGUGUGGCUCCAGAAAACUGGCUGAGUAGCGUAAUCGACUGCUAAAGUGGCCACAGAGUCUUCCUAGGCUUGCACGUGACUUUGCAGCUGCUCGUAUCAAGGGGUGGAGUCUAGUUCCUCGCCUGCUAUACCUGGGCUGGCCUGGGAUUUGCUUUGACUAAUCAAAUGUGGCAGAAAUGAACAUGUGCCAGUUCUGAACUUAGGCUUCAAGGGGUGUUGGGCACUUUCUCUCACUCUGUUGUGACCACGAAGUGAACCACCAGCCCAGACUAGCCUGCGGGAGGAGGAGAACAUGUGCUAGUCAUCCUGCAGCACUGAUACCCAUCCAACUACCAGAUGUGUGACUGUGGCCAUCCUAGAACAGCCAGCCGCCAGCUGUUCCUCUGUUUCAUCACAGAUGCAUGAGAGAGCCUGGCCAGGCCAGCUCAGAUGAGAAGAACCAACCAACUCAUCUGUAGAAUUUUGAAAAAUGAUAAAAGUUUGUUGUUUCAAGUUGCUAAGGUUUGGGAUGGUUUAAUUCCAUAGGGUUACUCUGAGGAUCAUAUAAGAUAAGGCCACGUUACAAGUCCACAAGAAAUGUUAGUUGAAUCCUAUUACAGAGUUACAGAAUUGGAAGAGACCACUGAGAACAUAAAAAUAUGCCCCACUUUUUCAAGCUCACGUUUUCUCAUUUAGUCCCCAAAACUUCCUUGAAAUAUUGUGACUAUGUUACCCUCAUAUUACAGAAAAGAGGACUGAAUCCUAAGAAGUUAACUUGCCAAGGGUCAUGCCUACUAAGUGGUGAAACUAGAUGUGAAUUCAGCUCUGUGUGAUUCUAAAGGCCAUGUUCUUAACUAUUAGGAUAAAAACAUUGGUUCAUAUAUUUAAAAACCAUAUUUGUGGCAUAUUCGACCAAAUCGGUAAAAGAAAUGGAAAAGGAAAGACAAAAGUAUCUUUUUUCUAGAGGACUAGAAAAAGUUAGCAUGCUUAUUCUCUGGUACCACGAUAACAUUUGAUGACAUGAUUAUUCAAGUCCUACCUCUAGCAGAACUCUCUAUGCUCAGUCUGGGGUGACCUGCUUGAGAAAUGAAUUUUGAUCUCAAUGUGGUUGAUAGCUAUGCUGACUUUAGAACUGAGAGCUCCUGUCUACUCAUUCCCCAAGCUGUAGGUUUGCAUAUUUGCUAGAACUCACUGAAGAAGACUCAGCACAUAAUAUUACUGAAAGAGGAAAGUAUUUGUAGUCACAAUACUUGAAUUUAAGCCCCAACUACUUCUUGGGCAACUUAGUCUCUCUGUGCUACAUUUUUCUUACUUCCAAAAUGAGAAUUUAAUUAAUGAGAUAAUGAAAGCAAAGAUGCCAUGAUAAUAUAAUGUAUUAUUAUCAUUGUAAGAGUAAAUUCAUUACUGAAGUUGAUUUCAAUGGUAAAUUUGUAAUGUUUCAGAUUAAGCAAAAAGACAUGUAUUUGACCUUCUGCAAAAGCAAAAGACUUUGCAAUAAUUUAUUGUAUAUUUCAAAAUCACUAAGAGAGUGGAACUGGAAGGCUUAUAAACCUAAAACAUGAUAAAUAUUUAAGGUGAUGGUUAACCUAAUUACCCUGAUUUUAUAAUUAUACACUGUAUGCUUGUGUCAAAAUAUCAACUACUCCUCACAGAUAUGCACAUCUAUUAUAUAUCCACAAAAAUAAAAAGAUAACCAAAAGGUAAAUCUAAGCAAAAAAAAAAAAAAAAA